CUUGGUCAUUUAGAGGAAGUAAAAGUCGUAACAAGGUUUCCGUAGGUGAACCUGCGGAAGGAUCAUUAUCGAUUGCGAAUCGUCACCUUCAGUGCUGGCCAGCUCUGGCAAGUGCACGUCAGUGACUUUCAUCCAAAACUCUGUGCACCAUUGGCCUCUGCUAGCUUCAGCCGGCAGAGGAAUUUUUACACAAACUCGAAUGUAAUGAAAUUUAUUGUUGUGCGCAAGCACUAAUGUACAACUUUCAACAACGGAUCUCUUGGCUCUCGCAUCGAUGAAGAACGCAGCGAAAUGCGAUAAGUAAUGUGAAUUGCAGAAUUCAGUGAAUCAUCGAAUCUUUGAACGCACCUUGCACCCUUUGGCAUUCUGAAGGGUAUGCUCGUUUGAGUGUCAUUGUACUCUCACACUUCCAAUCUUUGGAUUGGGAGCGGUGGACUUGGGUGGUUGCGGCUUUACUGUGGCUCACCUCAAAUGAAGUAGUGCAACUCUUGGUUGGACAUAGUACGGCGUGAUAAGUGUCUUCGCCGGCACCUCGUAACAGAGGGUGGUCGAUCGAGAGCUCUGUGCUUCAAACCGUCUUCGGACAAUGACUGACAACUUGACCUCAAAUCGAGUAGGACUACCCGCUGAACUUAAGCAUAUCAAUAAGCGGAGGA
This 656-nucleotide ribosomal RNA is filed under the name uncultured Sebacina. RNAcentral describes it as "eukaryotic LSU rRNA". The stretch from base 240 to 393 matches the Rfam family "5.8S ribosomal RNA". The record is from RNAcentral. Lineage: Eukaryota; Fungi; Basidiomycota; Agaricomycetes; Sebacinales; Sebacinaceae.